UCCGAGUUGACCCCGGCAGUCUCCCAUGAGUCCCCGCCACUACGCGCUGGCAACAUGGAACGAGGGUUGCGCUCGUUGCGGGACUUAACCCAACAUCUCACGACACGAGCUGACGACAGCCAUGCAGCACCUGUGUUCAGGCUCCCUUUCGGGCACGAAUUCAUCUCUGAAAACUUCCUGACAUGUCAAGGGUAGGUAAGGUUUUUCGCGUUGCAUCGAAUUAAUCCACAUAAUCCACCGCUUGUGCGGGUCCCCGUCAAUUCCUUUGAGUUUUAACCUUGCGACCGUACUCCCCAGGCGGAGUGCUUAAUGCGUUAGCUGCGGCACAGAGCGGGUUGAAGACCGCCCCACACCUAGCACUCAACGUUUACGGCUGGGACUAC
RNAcentral lists this unclassified non-coding RNA (383 nucleotides) under uncultured bacterium. Its description in RNAcentral is "contains 16S-23S intergenic spacer region". The record is from RNAcentral.